AUUGAACGCUGGCGGCAGGCCUAACACAUGCAAGUCGAACGGUAACAGGAAGAAGCUUGCUUCUUUGCUGACGAGUGGCGGACGGGUGAGUAAUGUCUGGGAAACUGCCUGAUGGAGGGGGAUAACUACUGGAAACGGUAGCCAAUACCGCAUAACGUCGCAAGACCAAAGAGGGGGACCUUCGGGCCUCUUGCCAUCGGAUGUGCCCAGAUGGGAUUAGCUAGUAGGUGGGGUAACGGCUCACCUAGGCGACGAUCCCUAGCUGGUCUGAGAGGAUGACCAGCCACACUGGAACUGAGACACGGUCCAGACUCCUACGGGAGGCAGCAGUGGGGAAUAUUGCACAAUGGGCGCAAGCCUGAUGCAGCCAUGCCGCGUGUAUGAAGAAGGCCUUCGGGUUGUAAAGUACUUUCAGCGGGGAGGAAGGGAGUAAAGUUAAUACCUUUACUCAUUGACGUUACCCGCAGAAGAAGCACCGGCUAACUCCGUG
Molecule: ribosomal RNA, 490 nt
Filed under: uncultured bacterium
Lineage: Bacteria
Description: partial 16S ribosomal RNA
Rfam family: Bacterial small subunit ribosomal RNA
Source: RNAcentral